CUCGAACCCGCAACCUCAUGGUUCCUAGUCGGAUUCAUUAAUCACUGCACCACGACGGGAACUCCAGGAAUGCAGGCUAUUUUUGAAAUAUUGUUAUCCCAUGGAACUCGAAAUUUAUUUAUUUAUUUAUUUAGUCUUUUGUCCUUUUUAGGGCCACACCAGUGGUAUAUGGAGGUUCCCAGGCUAGGGGUCUAAUCGGAGCUGUUGCUGCCGGCCUGUACCAGAGCCACAGCAACACCAGAUCUGAGCCUCGUCUGUGACUUACACCACAGCUCACAGCAAGGCUGGAUCCUUAACCCACUGAGCAAGGUCAGGGAUGGAACCCGAAACCUCAUGGUUCCUAGUUGGAUUCAUUUCCAUUGCGCCAUGACAGGAACUCCCCAUGGAACUCAAAAUUUAAAAUGUCAUUUUUAUAUCUUUAAAGCUUUCAGAGAAAUUUAAAAGCAUCUUGAUAUUUCACAACAAGCUACUACCUUUCACAAUUACUUAUCUAAGUUAACAUUUUUUUUUUCUUAUUGAACAGCCAAAAAAAUUCAACUACAAGUUGGGUGUUAAAACAUAUGAUUGAAAAUACCAAGUAAGAACCCCAAUUUCAAGUAAUUAUGUUCAUUAAAACAGGCUCAUGUACCUCAUAAAUUGAAUUAAUAAUAAGCAAAUGAUAUAAAUUUGAAAAUUUUGAAUAAAGUGAUAUUAGUAAAAUUACCCUUUUAUCUGAUGAAUCCAUGUAUUUUUGCACAGUUGUUGCCUGGUAAGAAAUGGAUGGAAAGUGACUCUGCAGAAAUCCUAAGUGCAAGCAGACAAGGCAAGAACUUGGAGAGGUGAGAGGAAAUAAAAGAAAUGGUUUCACCCCUUGCUCUGAGGUGCUGGUGGGAAGAGAAUGUGAAGCCUCCUGCAGGAACAUGGAAGAUGGGUCCUGCGACAAGGAGGGAGAAAGGCUAUCAGGGUUAUCUCUGUCAACACCAGUGAUUUUAGAGAGAAUGACAAAUAUAGAAGAUGUGGAAGACAAGUACUGGACAUGUCCUGAUCAAGACAAAUAUUGAAAGGAACACAGAUGGGAAAAAAUUGAUCCUAACUGGAAGCUAUAUGGCUGCCAUGAAAAUUAAAUCCUGGUGAGUUUCUCAAUAUGUGAACUAUUGUACUCUUACAGAGAAAUCUAGGCACAGGCUAGGACUGAGAUUCAGGACAGAAAAAAUGACCCAUAAUAGUUUAAAACCAUGAAACAGACAGUGAUGGAUAAUUCAUCUAAUAAUCCAAUUCGCCAAGUGUUACAUACUUAAGUUCUAAGUAAAGGAACCACUGAACUAGAAUGGCAGUUAGAGGAAAUCCAAAAUUCUGAAAGUAGUAGGGGCCAAAAGGAAUUAAGGUCACCUGUCAAAAGGAAUGAUACUAAGAGUAAUGCUAGGAAUCUAGACUCACAUGAAUCCAGUGAUCACAAAACACAUCCUACUGGUAACAGAGAAAUACACCUAAAGAAUAAAUGUGGUCGGUUCUAUAAAAAUGCA
This 1502-nucleotide long non-coding RNA is filed under the name Sus scrofa (pig). RNAcentral describes it as "lncRNA (ENSSSCG00050021678.1)". Lineage: Eukaryota; Metazoa; Chordata; Mammalia; Artiodactyla; Suidae. The record is from RNAcentral.